UGGGGAAUAUUGCACAAUGGGCGCAAGCCUGAUGCAGCCAUGCUGCGUGUAUGAAGAAGGCCUUCGGGUUGUAAAGUACUUUCAGCGGGGAGGAAGGGAGUAAAGUUAAUACCUUUGCUCAUUGACGUUACCCGCAGAAGAAGCACCGGCUAACUCCGUGCCAGCAGCCGCGGUAAU
Molecule: ribosomal RNA, 177 nt
Filed under: uncultured Gammaproteobacteria bacterium
Lineage: Bacteria; Pseudomonadati; Pseudomonadota; Gammaproteobacteria
Description: partial 16S ribosomal RNA
Rfam family: Bacterial small subunit ribosomal RNA
Source: RNAcentral